Molecule: non-coding RNA, 104 nt
Organism: Schizophyllum amplum
Lineage: Eukaryota; Fungi; Basidiomycota; Agaricomycetes; Agaricales; Schizophyllaceae
Source: the annotation of a GenBank genome assembly
UCCCUGGUAGUAUAUCGGUUAGUACACCCGCCUGUCAUACGACACGAUGGUUCAACCGGUCACGUCACGCGCGGGAGAGCGGGGUUCAACUCCCCGCCAAGGAG